This 381-nucleotide long non-coding RNA is filed under the name Fukomys damarensis (Damara mole-rat). Its description in RNAcentral is "lncRNA (ENSFDAG00000026514.1)". Lineage: Eukaryota; Metazoa; Chordata; Mammalia; Rodentia; Bathyergidae. The record is from RNAcentral.
AUUGUCAGACUAACAAGGCUUACAUAAAUGUUAUCUUCACUAGAAUGGAAGAAAACUUGUGUGAUCACUUAGAGGAAAUCCUACAGAAUUGGCAAGUAUAAAACACUAGAGUUCCACCAAAAAAGACUUUGAAAUCAAAUAUGAAAAUAAUAUUUUCUCAAAAAUGUUUGGCACACAUGAAGGAGUCUCUGGUUUCUUCCACGGAAAGAGGAGGAUAUUUCUUAUUUUGGGAUGAUGCAUUUAAUGAAGAACAAUUUCAAGUAAGGGAGAGGUUGCUCUGAGGAAAACCUGAGUGGCUCACCCUGGCUCUCUUCCCAGCAUGGGAUUCUGGUACGUGCCUCACCAAUGGGUAUUAAUUUUCGUCACGUCCCAGGGCAGUUU